This 301-nucleotide ribosomal RNA is filed under the name uncultured bacterium. Its description in RNAcentral is "partial 16S ribosomal RNA". It matches the Rfam family "Bacterial small subunit ribosomal RNA", at positions 509 to 807 of the family's 1533-position model. The record is from RNAcentral.
CAGCAGCCACGGGAAAACGAAGGGGGCUAGCGCUGUUCGGAUUUACUGGGCGUAAAGGGUGCGUAGGCGGACUGAUAAGUCAGGGGUGAAAUCCCAAGGCUCAACCUUGGAACUGCCUUUGAUACUGUUAGUCUUGAGUUCGAGAGAGGUGAGUGGAACCGCGAGUGUAGAGGUGAAAUUCGUAGAUAUUCGCAAGAACACCAGUGGCGAAGACGGCUCACUGGCUCGAAACUGACGCUGAGGCACGAAAGCGUGGGGAGCAAACAGGAUUAGAGACCCCAGUAGUCCCUGUCUCUUAUAC